RNAcentral lists this long non-coding RNA (1211 nucleotides) under Homo sapiens (human). RNAcentral describes it as "HSALNT0335974". Lineage: Eukaryota; Metazoa; Chordata; Mammalia; Primates; Hominidae. The record is from RNAcentral.
UUCUGUCUCGUUUCUUUUUUUAUAGCUCAUCAUAACCUAUGCCUAUUUUUCCCUUUGAAUCUUUCAUAGAUUCCAGUCAUAGGCCAGAUUCAAGACUCAACCCCAAUUAUUGGGUAUAAGAGACACAAUAGGUAUUCAAUAAACAUCGGUUGAAUUGAAUUAAAUGGGAUUGAAAUUGGCCCCACUAAGACAUAGAUCUCUUAGGGGUUGUUUGGCUGCAAAAACCAGAAAUCUAGAUGACUAGCUAAAGCUAAACAAGAAAAUUUACUGUAAGGAUACAUGGAUUUCUUUAUGAGAAAAUGCAAAAGGAAGUGGAAACUUACCAGGAAUGAAAGAGAAUGCUGUUUAUAAUUUUUAGGGAGCAUUGAGGUCAAGGAUCUGCCUCACUAUCCUUCCACCUUUGGCUCUGCUUGCAGUGGCUCUGGUUCUAUCCAUGCUUUUACUAAGCCUGCAAAUUCUGUAAAGCAGGAAACUACAAAAACGUUACAAAAGGCUCUGUCAAAAGAUUCUUCAAGUGAUUAAGGAUAGCACACUCUGCAUAGGAAAUGAAGCCCUCGGAGAGAUUUGAAGAAGCCCUUGGAGAGAUUUGAGAUAUCCCUAACGGAGAAAGAAUUGACCUUCAUUAUCUCAGGAAGGCUUUUGACAUAAAAGAGAAAGAGAAGAAACUGAUUACUUAAAGAGGAGAGAGAGCUGUAAAGAGAACUACGAGGAUGAGCAUCAGGCUUAAAGUGGCUUAAUUUAUAAACGGAUAAUUUAAAAAUAGAAUUGGAACAUUAAGCCUUAAUAUGACCUAUACUCCUCGCAAUCCAGAAGUGAAGGGAGAAAUGUGGACAUGAGAGGGGCACAGAGGAAGACUACCUGAAGACACACAGAGAGAAGGUGACCACGUGGUUGGAGUGGAGCAUCUACAAACCAACACACAUACCAAGGAUUGCUGGCAAGUAUCACCAGAAGCUAGAAGAGGCAAGAAAGGAUUCUCCCCAAAGCUGUCAGCAAAAACACAGCACUGAUGGUACCUUGAUUUCAGACUUUUAGCCCCGAAACUGUGAGAGAGUAAAUUUCUGUUGUUUUAGGUGACCUGUUUUUUGGAAUUUGUUAUGUCAACUGUAGGAAAUGGAUAUUGUACAACGAUUGGGGCAUGACUUUGCAAUGGUUUACCUGCUCUCAGAUGAAAAUUUUUUUUUUUUGUUUUUUUUUUAGAUGGAGUCUUG